CUCCUUGCGUUAAGUUAGUUACUGUGAUUCACCUUCUCAAUGCCAUCGAACUUCUGGAAUGCAGGAAGUUUUCACCCCAACUUGGAGUAAUUCUCUCAUAGGUUUGGUCGCCUCUGGGAUUGUACCGUCUUCUCCAUCAACCCUGUCGCCUACUCCACUGAGUAGCAAAGGUACAGCACCGCGUACUGCCUGCUUUGUUCCUUGGUUAUGCACUCUUGCAUGACCCGAAGUCCUUCACUUUCGGCUAUCUUGAUGAGAAGCUCAUUGACACCGGUCUUACGAAGUUCCUAGGCCUCUGCCCUUCAGCCUUGUCUCGGUACUUGGAGAUUGCCUCUGCAUGCUCCACCUCCUCGGCCCCUUUCAUGACCAAGCGCUCUCCCUCCAUGAGAGCAAGGGAUCAAUGACUUUCAUGGAAGUCCCGCCUUUGCGGUACCAUGGCGCUGCCAUGCCCAUGGC
Molecule: long non-coding RNA, 456 nt
Filed under: Musa acuminata (dwarf banana)
Lineage: Eukaryota; Viridiplantae; Streptophyta; Magnoliopsida; Zingiberales; Musaceae
Description: long non-coding RNA (MACU_LNC005276)
Source: RNAcentral